Molecule: ribosomal RNA, 119 nt
Filed under: Scophthalmus maximus (turbot)
Lineage: Eukaryota; Metazoa; Chordata; Actinopteri; Pleuronectiformes; Scophthalmidae
Source: RNAcentral
GCUUACGGCCACACCGCCUGGUUCACGCCCGAUCUCGUUUGAUCUCGGAAGCUAAGAUAGGUUGGGCCUGGUUAGUACUUGGAUGGGAGACCACCUGGGAAUACCAAGUGCUGUAAGAU